AGAGUUUGAUCCUGGCUCAGGACGAACGCUGGCGGCGUGCCUAAUACAUGCAAGUCGUACGCUUCUUUUUCCACCGGAGCUUGCUCCACCGGAAAAAGAGGAGUGGCGAACGGGUGAGUAACACGUGGGUAACCUGCCCAUCAGAAGGGGAUAACACUUGGAAACAGGUGCUAAUACCGUAUAACAAUCGAAACCGCAUGGUUUUGAUUUGAAAGGCGCUUUCGGGUGUCGCUGAUGGAUGGACCCGCGGUGCAUUAGCUAGUUGGUGAGGUAACGGCUCACCAAGGCCACGAUGCAUAGCCGACCUGAGAGGGUGAUCGGCCACAUUGGGACUGAGACACGGCCCAAACUCCUACGGGAGGCAGCAGUAGGGAAUCUUCGGCAAUGGACGAAAGUCUGACCGAGCAACGCCGCGUGAGUGAAGAAGGUUUUCGGAUCGUAAAACUCUGUUGUUAGAGAAGAACAAGGAUGAGAGUAACUGUUCAUCCCUUGACGGUAUCUAACCAGAAAGCCACGGCUAACUACGUGCCAGCAGCCGCGGUAAUACGUAGGUGGCAAGCGUUGUCCGGAUUUAUUGGGCGUAAAGCGAGCGCAGGCGGUUUCUUAAGUCUGAUGUGAAAGCCCCCGGCUCAACCGGGGAGGGUCAUUGGAAACUGGGAGACUUGAGUGCAGAAGAGGAGAGUGGAAUUCCAUGUGUAGCGGUGAAAUGCGUAGAUAUAUGGGUGGCGAAGGCGGCUCUCUGGUCUGUAACUGACGCUGAGGCUCGAAAGCGUGGGGAGCAAACAGGAUUAGAUACCCUGGUAGUCCACGCCGUAAACGAUGAGUGCUAAGUGUUGGAGGGUUUCCGCCCUUCAGUGCUGCAGCUAACGCAUUAAGCACUCCGCCUGGGGAGUACGACCGCAAGGUUGAAACUUCAAAGGAAUUGACGGGGGCCCGCACAAGCGGUGGAGCAUGUGGUUUAAUUCGAAGCAACGCGAAGAACCUUACCAGGUCUUGACAUCCUUUGACCACUCUAGAGAUAGAGCUUCCCCUUCGGGGGCAAAGUGACAGGUGGUGCAUGGUUGUCGUCAGCUCGUGUCGUGAGAUGUUGGGUUAAGUCCCGCAACGAGCGCAACCCUUAUUGUUAGUUGCCAUCAUUCAGUUGGGCACUCUAGCAAGACUGCCGGUGACAAACCGGAGGAAGGUGGGGAUGACGUCAAAUCAUCAUGCCCCUUAUGACCUGGGCUACACACGUGCUACAAUGGGAAGUACAACGAGUCGCGAAGUCGCGAGGCUAAGCUAAUCUCUUAAAGCUUCUCUCAGUUCGGAUUGCAGGCUGCAACUCGCCUGCAUGAAGCCGGAAUCGCUAGUAAUCGCGGAUCAGCACGCCGCGGUGAAUACGUUCCCGGGCCUUGUACACACCGCCCGUCACACCACGAGAGUUUGUAACACCCGAAGUCGGUGAGGUAACCUUUGGAGCCAGCC
RNAcentral lists this ribosomal RNA (1464 nucleotides) under Enterococcus faecium. RNAcentral's name for it is "bacterial SSU rRNA". It matches the Rfam family "Bacterial small subunit ribosomal RNA". The record is from RNAcentral. Lineage: Bacteria; Bacillati; Bacillota; Bacilli; Lactobacillales; Enterococcaceae.